GCAUAUCAAUAAGCGGAGGAAAAGAAACCAACAGGGAUUGCCUUAGUAACGGCGAGUGAAGCGGCAAAAGCUCAAAUUUGAAAUCUGGUACCUUUGGUGCCCGAGUUGUAAUUUGAAGAUAGUUUUCUGGUGCUGGCCCCCGUCUAUGUUCCUUGGAACAGGACGUCACAGAGGGUGAGAAUCCCGUCUGGCGGGGUGGUCCAGUGCUUUGUAGAUUUCUAUCGACGAGUCGAGUUGUUUGGGAAUGCAGCUCUAAGUGGGUGGUAAAUUCCAUCUAAAGCUAAAUAUUGGCGAGAGACCGAUAGCGAACAAGUACAGUGAUGGAAAGAUGAAAAGAACUUUGAAAAGAGAGUGAAAAAGUACGUGAAAUUGUUGAAAGGGAAGGGUAUUAGAUCAGACUUGGUGUUUUGUGAUUAUCUUCCCUUCUUGGGUUGUGCACUCGCAUUUCACUGGGCCAGCAUCGGUUUGGGUGGCAAGAUAAUGGCUUGGGGAACGUGGCACUGUCUUCGGGCAGUGUGUUUAUAGCCCCUGCUGAUGUUGCCUGCCUAGACCGAGGACUGCGGCUUCUGCCUAGGAUGCUGGCGUAAUGAUCUAACACCGCCCGUCUUGAAACACGGACC
This 620-nucleotide ribosomal RNA is filed under the name Williopsis mengyuniae. RNAcentral describes it as "eukaryotic LSU rRNA". It matches the Rfam family "Eukaryotic large subunit ribosomal RNA", at positions 38 to 667 of the family's 3401-position model. Lineage: Eukaryota; Fungi; Ascomycota; Saccharomycetes; Phaffomycetales; Wickerhamomycetaceae. The record is from RNAcentral.